AAAAGCCAAUGCAUGCUUUUACAGUAUGAAAAUUGGUGAUUUAUAAUAACUUAGCAAAUCGCAAAGUGAAAACAGGCGAUAAAUCAUUCAAGUUUCUGACCUAUCAGCUUUCGACGGUAUGGUAUUGGCUUACCGUGGCAGUGACGGUUAACGGGGGAUUAGGGUUCGAUUCCGGAGAGGGAGCCUGAGAAACGGCUACCACAUCUAAGGAAGGCAGCAGGCGCGCAAAUUACCCAAUUCUAACAGUUUGAGAGAGGUAGUAACAAGAAAUAACAAUACAAGGCAGUUAAAAUGCUUUGCAAUUGGAAUGAUAGAAAUUUAAACCCUUUUUAAAGUAUCAAUUGGAGGGCAAGUCUGGUGCCAGCAGCCGCGGUAAUUCCAGCUCCAAUAGCGUAUAUUAAAAUUGUUGCAGUUAAAAAGCUCGUAGUUGAAGUUCUGCUAAAAGUAACCGGUCUGCUUUGAAUAAAAGUGGUAUCUUGGUAUGUAUUUAGCAAUGAUGUCCUUUGAAGUGUUUUUUACUUUAUUGUAAUAAAGCAUAUUCAGGACUUUUACUUUGAGAAAAUUAGAGUGUUUCUAGCAGGCCAACGCUUUGAAUACUGCAGCAUGGAAAUAAUAAGA
This 618-nucleotide ribosomal RNA is filed under the name Hepatozoon canis. RNAcentral describes it as "SSU rRNA". It matches the Rfam family "Eukaryotic small subunit ribosomal RNA", at positions 217 to 823 of the family's 1831-position model. Lineage: Eukaryota; Apicomplexa; Hepatozoidae. The record is from RNAcentral.